UCAUAGGAUCAAAUCUCAUCGUUUCAAUAAAAUUCCAAUCUUCAAACCUAAUUAUGAUAAUCGUACAACACUAGAUUCAUUUUUGAAAAACUUAAAUCGUCGUCUCAGUUCCUUUUCUUGAAGAUUAUUUCAAAAUCGAUAAAUUUUAGCAGAUCAAAAUUGAAGAUAAUUUCAUCCUUUAGAAGCGAUUUGGAAGAUGACAACAUGUUUUUGUCAUUUAAUUUGAAUUACUCUCACUCCAUCAGAAAAAACAGAAAGAGAAACUCUUUAAACGCUUCUUCUUUUUCAUCAGAUCUGAAGAUCUAGAGAAAUAAUUUUUGUUUUUGUUAAUGGAAAAUGGAGGUCAUAGAAAGAUUGCGAAGCAUGGAUCUAACGCAUCAUGAGAAGAUGCCAUUUGUUCAGCUUAUAUUUCCCGUCGAAUCUGCUCAUAGAGUCGUUUCUUAUCUAUGAGAUAUUGGACUCCUUUCAUUCAAAGAUUGCCUGAUUUUAUAGAGCCUUCCAUUUUGUUUCUAAGCAUGGGGGAGGGAACAAUUUCAAGCGAAUAUACUUCAGGAUUUCUAGUAUUGCUUAGGACAAUUCUGUAGCACAGUUUAAGGCUAGGGAAUCUGACAGUGGUGGAGAAUGCAAGAAGGUUUAGAGGAAGUUUGUUGGAAACUUCUACUAAGGUUGGGUACAACACUGCAACUGGAAGAUAGUAGAAUUUGAUGGAAGCUAGAAUCAUUAACUGUACUAAGGUUGUUUGCUGGGAACUCCAAAUGAAUAUAGGUUUCCAGGGGUAAGCAAGCUAAUGAAUUGAGAUGAAUAUCCACAAUGGUUUCCCCAGAAGCUGUCAUUUGAUCCUAACCUCAAUGAAGCUUUUCAAGGUCUGCUUUUGGCUGUAUGUUCUGAAAGACCAUAGAAUGUCAAGACGUUUGUUUUAAGGAAAAAGAGAGGAAUAUUUUGAGAUGUUGGCCGCCAAGGUAAUGAAGAAGGAAACAUAUACGAACAGGUUAGUCUUACAUAAUGAUCAGAAGAAUUAUAAUGUGUAAGGCUAGUGAUCUUCUUAAAUGCAAUAAUGGAUGCUUUUCUGGUAGUGCAUCGUUUGCAGAGUUUCUGAUUUAGCUUGACAUUGUGUCUUGGAAUUCAGAUUACCAUCAUUCUAUAAGUGUACAUACUGGUGCCCCUGGAAUACAAGUGUACAAAAUGGUGCACCUGUAACAAGAUGAGUGCAGGUUGAUUUCACUGCCAUUCUCAUCCUAGAAACAAGCCUUUUUUGGGGAACUGAGAUGGUGGAUUUCACUGCCAUUCUCAUCCUAGAAACAAGCAUAUUUUAUUUUUAUUUGAGCACACCCAAAAUAAACAUACCUAUCAUUUUUACCAAGCUCUAAAUGGCAAAUAUGCCUAUCUUUGUGAGACAGAUGAGUGCUUAGUUCUAUAAGAGCUUGCGACUAGUAUUAUGAAGGUGCCUUUGUAUGGUGAAAUUGUUAAAAUAUGCUUGGGUUUCUUUUGAAUUUUUUUAUUCUGGGGACUAAUCUGUAUUUGUUAUGAAGAGAGAAGAAAUAUUAUAACUGGUUCGAUAUGCUCAGAUGUAAGAGCUCAUUUGGAACAAAUGCAAACGCGUCGAAUUUUCCCAUGAUUACACUGAGUAAUUCAUUCGAAGGUGGCAGAAGAGUUAGAGCUGCAGUUGUUUGUGGGGAUGAACAUGUUAAAUUAUUAGGUGCAUUUGAGACACUGGAAGCAUAUAUGAUGAUUUUAGUACACACAAGGAUGAGCCUUAUUGGGAUACCCUGACUGGUGGAUUCGCUUGCGUAGAUGAGGCUAAAAUUUGUAUUAGGUGGACCAUUUAAGUUGUGUGUAAUAUACAAUAUUUAAGUUGUGCGUAAUGUACAAGCUGGUGUCUUUGGAUUUUCUGGAUUUUUGUAGAUGUGUACAUGUUUGUACACCAAUGUAAACUAAGUUUUUUUAAAAGUCAGAAUUAUAGUCAUAUGGGUACGUUUUUUGUAGU
Molecule: long non-coding RNA, 1984 nt
Organism: Papaver somniferum (opium poppy)
Lineage: Eukaryota; Viridiplantae; Streptophyta; Magnoliopsida; Ranunculales; Papaveraceae
Exons: 6
Source: RefSeq, a predicted model, not a curated record